Molecule: ribosomal RNA, 253 nt
Filed under: uncultured bacterium
Lineage: Bacteria
Description: partial 16S ribosomal RNA
Rfam family: Bacterial small subunit ribosomal RNA
Source: RNAcentral
UACAGAGGGGGCAAGCGUUGUUCGGAAUUACUGGGCGUAAAGGGCGCGUAGGCGGCCAACUAAGUCAGGGGUGAAAUCCUGGAGCUCAACUCCAGAACUGCCUUUGAUACUGGGGAUCUCGAGUCCGGAAGAGGUGAGUGGAACUCCGAGUGUAGAGGUGAAAUUCGUAGAUAUUCGGAAGAACACCAGUGGCGAAGGCGGCUCACUGGUCCGGUACUGACGCUGAGGUGCGAAAGCGUGGGGAGCAAACAGG